GCAAGCCGAACGGCAGCGGGUCCUUCGGGAUGCCGGCGAGUGGCGCACGGGUGCGUAACGCGUAUGCAACCUACCUUUGACAGGGGGAUAGCCCGGGGAAACCCGGAUUAAUACCCCAUGGUAUUAUUUAAAUCGCAUGGUUUAAUAAUUAAAGAUUUAUUGGUCAGAGAUGGGCAUGCGUCCGAUUAGCUAGUUGGUGAGGUAACGGCUCACCAAGGCGAUGAUCGGUAGGGGUUCUGAGAGGAUGAUC
This 250-nucleotide ribosomal RNA is filed under the name uncultured bacterium. Its description in RNAcentral is "partial 16S ribosomal RNA". It matches the Rfam family "Bacterial small subunit ribosomal RNA", at positions 57 to 305 of the family's 1533-position model. The record is from RNAcentral.